This 415-nucleotide unclassified non-coding RNA is filed under the name fungal sp. Its description in RNAcentral is "partial internal transcribed spacer region". The stretch from base 1 to 46 matches the Rfam family "Eukaryotic small subunit ribosomal RNA", at positions 1786 to 1831 of the family's 1831-position model. The record is from RNAcentral. Lineage: Eukaryota; Fungi.
AAGUCGUAACAAGGUUUCCGUAGGUGAACCUGCGGAAGGAUCAUUAAUACGUUUCUAAACAAAACGUUUUAAACUCCAAAAUUUGAUCGUGGAAAAUAAACUUCCGGAUGCAUUUGUAGGGAGGUUCAGUGUAAAAACUGACCUUCUUGAAAAAGGGACUUCAAAGUCGUAAGACUUUGACACUUCAGAGUAGAGCAGUGAGGUGAAAACUCAGCAAUGAGUUUUGGUUCUGAAAUACAUUUGUAUCCGGUUAUUCUCUGUUCUACAAACUCCAAAAUAUCAAACAAUAAACCCCAUGUACAACAACUUGAACUAAACAUUUCUUUGUUAUUCUUCUUGCACUUGUGUGAGAAGAUACUACAAAGAAAAAACCUGAACUUAAGAACAGCUCUUAACAACGGAUAUCUUGGUUCUC